UCUCUGGAGGACCAAUGGUUAGGCCACAGCGCUCUCACGACUGUGGCCCGGGUUUGAUUCUCAGCCAGGGAA
RNAcentral lists this transfer RNA (72 nucleotides) under Pangasianodon hypophthalmus (striped catfish). RNAcentral describes it as "tRNA-Glu". The record is from RNAcentral. Lineage: Eukaryota; Metazoa; Chordata; Actinopteri; Siluriformes; Pangasiidae.